Long non-coding RNA from Bradysia coprophila, 631 nucleotides. The record is from RefSeq and is a predicted model, not a curated record. Lineage: Eukaryota; Metazoa; Arthropoda; Insecta; Diptera; Sciaridae.
AUGAGACCGCUUUUGGGUCUGAUUUUAUUUCUCGUCCGCAUAGCAUAUCCAUUACAGUGUCUUCAAUGUAUUCACAACCAAGACAACCCGCAUGUUGAUUGUAUCAAUGCAGAUGUUAAGUACUUGUCAGACUGUACCAACCACAACGAUGUGACAGAACAAGUAACCGAUUGGGAUUGCUACGUAAUCGGAAACUAUACGUCGACGACCGUCUUGUUCGUGUACCGCCAAUGUAUUGCUAGGGGCUAUGAGAUCCAUUGUACCGCAGGUGGACCUCUUGAGUAUUGGGCUCAUUUUCAAUGUAUUUGCAAUAACAGAGGCGGCUGCAACGAUAACGAGCCUCCGUUGAGGAACGCAACCUUAAGCCCUACUGACCCAACACCUUCAACACCUUCUAUCUCAACACCAUUUAUCCCACCAAUUUUAUCGACACCUUCCGCCUCAACACCAUCUGAAACAACAUCGCCUGGACCAAACGGAGGUAUAAAUCUACGAUUAUCACCAACGUUUAUUGUUUACGGUUUAUUAGGUUUUGCUCUUCGUUGUAUGUUUAGCGGUUAGAAAGUUAGUCUAAUGUUUUUGAAAGCGGCCGGUCAAUGUCUAGUACUACGUCAAUAAAGAUAUGUGAUGA